RNAcentral lists this ribosomal RNA (443 nucleotides) under uncultured bacterium. RNAcentral describes it as "partial 16S ribosomal RNA". It matches the Rfam family "Bacterial small subunit ribosomal RNA", at positions 338 to 795 of the family's 1533-position model. The record is from RNAcentral.
CCUACGGGUGGCAGCAGUGGGGAAUAUUGGGCAAUGGGCGCAAGCCUGACCCAGCAACGCCGCGUGAAGGAAGAAGGCUCUCGGGUUGUAAACUUCUUUUGUCAGGGACGAAACAAAUGACGGUACCUGACGAAUAAGCCACGGCUAACUAUGUGCCAGCAGCAGCGGUAAUCCGGAGGUGGCAAGCGUUCUUCGGAUUUAAUGGGUGUAAAGGGGGUGUAGGCGGGAGAGCAAGUCAGAUGUGAAAUUCCAGGGCUCAACUCUGGAACUGCAUUUGAAACUGUUGUUCUUGAGUGAAGGUGAGGCAGGCGGAAUUCAGUGUGUAGCGGUGAAAUGCGUAGAGAUACGGAGGAACACCAGUGGCGAAGGCGGCCUGCUGGACAUUAACUGACGCUGAGGCGCGAAAGCGUGGGGAGCAAACAGGAUUAGAUACCCUUGUAGUC